This 592-nucleotide long non-coding RNA is filed under the name Homo sapiens (human). RNAcentral describes it as "HSALNT0295932". Lineage: Eukaryota; Metazoa; Chordata; Mammalia; Primates; Hominidae. The record is from RNAcentral.
UGGGAUUGGGUACCAGGCGGCAGUUAUCGGGACCAGGAGGCACAUAAUCUGGGAUGCCAUCAUUGUCAUCAUCCCCAUCACACUCAUCUCCAAGUCCAUCGUUAUCAGAGUCCAGCUGGGAGCUAUUUGGCAGCUGUGGGCAGUUGUCCUUGGUGUCCUGAUGCCCAUCCCCAUCGCUAAUCAGAAGAACAGGUUGGUGAAAGUCCCGAACUUUGUCUCCCCACCCAGAGGACAACUGGCCAGGAAAUCUGCCUGUUUCUUGUCUCACCCUCUAGUCCACACUCUGCCUAACACUACGCCCUACCUCACAUUCCUAUUGACAUCUGCUGCAGGUAAUCUCUCCUCACCCAGGCCAACGUCCACAAGCCUGCCUCCCUAUUUCACAGAGACUUCCUAGCUUCCCUGCUUCAUCCCCACCUGAUCCAAAUUCUCACAGGUCCCCCAGCCACCCCUUCAGCCCCAGGCCUGCACCAUCCCCAUCCACGUCGUUGUCACAGGCAUCUCCUUCCCCAUUGCCAUCUGUGUCCUUCUGGUCAUUGUUGGGAACGUUGGGGCAAUUGUCACAGGCAUCACCAAAUGAAUCUGUAUCUGA